AGUCCUGAUCACAGGGGAUUUCUUAGCUAUGAUCGUGCAGCCCACCACAUUCAGAUUUCUCGUAAUACUUACUUCAGGAGGCAACAAUCUACAUCAGUCUCAAUGCCUCUCUCCUCUCUACCACCAGUUGUUGAUCCAGUUACUCCAUCUAUCCUUGGAAUGAUGCAGGAGUUGUUGAUUUGAAGCGGCUCCUCAACGAAUCUUUCAAGAUGAAGGACUUAGGUCCCUUGAUUUAUUUUUUGGG
Molecule: long non-coding RNA, 244 nt
Organism: Nelumbo nucifera (sacred lotus)
Lineage: Eukaryota; Viridiplantae; Streptophyta; Magnoliopsida; Proteales; Nelumbonaceae
Source: RefSeq, a predicted model, not a curated record